Molecule: ribosomal RNA, 510 nt
Filed under: uncultured bacterium
Lineage: Bacteria
Description: partial 16S ribosomal RNA
Rfam family: Bacterial small subunit ribosomal RNA
Source: RNAcentral
GACGAACGUUGGCGGCGUGCUUAACACAUGCGAGUCGAACGAAGAGCGAUGGAAGCUUGCUUCUAUCAAUCUUAGUGGCGAACGCGUGAGUAACGCGUAAUCAACCUGCCCUUCAGAGGGGGACAACAGUUGGAAACGACUGCUAAUACCGCAUACGAUCUAAACUCGGCAUCGAGGAUAGAUGAAAGGUGGCCUCUACAUGUAAGCUAUCACUGAAGGAGGGGAUUGCGUCUGAUUAGCUAGUUGGAGGGGUAACGUCCCACCAAGGCGAUGAUCAGUAGACGGUCAGAGAGGAGGAGCGGCCACGUUGGGACUGGGACACGGCCCAGACUCCUGCGAGAGGGAGCAGUGGGGAAUCUUCCGCGAUGGACGAAAGUCUGACGGAGCAACGACGCGUGAGUGAUGACGGCCUUCGGGUUGUAAAGCUCUGUUAAUCGGGACGAAAGGACUGCUUGCGAAUAGUGGGAAGGAUUGACGGUACCGGAAUAGAAAGCCACGGCUAACUACGUG